Molecule: ribosomal RNA, 437 nt
Filed under: uncultured bacterium
Lineage: Bacteria
Description: partial 16S ribosomal RNA
Rfam family: Bacterial small subunit ribosomal RNA
Source: RNAcentral
AACGAACGCUGGCGGCAUGCCUAACACAUGCAAGUCGAACGGGACCGUCGGGUCUAGUGGCGCACGGGUGCGUAACGCCUGGGAACCUGCCCGUAGGUUCGGAAUAACUCCCUGAAGGGGGUGCUAAUACCGGAUAAUGUCUUCGGACCUAAGAUCUGUGGCGUCUGGAUGGGGGCGCGUUGGUUUAGCUAGUUGGUGGGGUACUGGCCUACCAAGGCUUUGAUGGAUAGCUGGUCUGAGAGGAUGACCGGCCACACUGGGACUGAGAUACGGCACAGACGCCUACGGGAGGCAGCAGUGGGGAAUAUUGCACAAUGGGCGGAAGCCUGAUGCAGCAACGCCGCGGGCGGGAUGACGGCCUUCGGGUUGUAAACCGCUGUCGCCUGUGACGAAGCGUGAGUGACGGUAAUGGGUAAAGAAGCACCGGCGAACUACGU